Molecule: ribosomal RNA, 499 nt
Filed under: uncultured bacterium
Lineage: Bacteria
Description: partial 16S ribosomal RNA
Rfam family: Bacterial small subunit ribosomal RNA
Source: RNAcentral
GACGAACGCUGGCGGCGUGCCUAAUACAUGCAAGUCGAGCGGACUUUCAAGAAGCUUGCUUUUUGAAAGUUAGCGGCGGACGGGUGAGUAACACGUGGGCAACCUGCCUGCAAGACGGGGAUAACUCCGGGAAACCGGGGCUAAUACCGGAUAAUAUCUUCCUUCGCAUGAAGGAAGGUUGAAAGGCGGCGCAAGCUGCCGCUUGCAGAUGGGCCCGCGGCGCAUUAGCUAGUUGGUGAGGUAACGGCUCACCAAGGCGACGAUGCGUAGCCGACCUGAGAGGGUGAUCGGCCACAAUGGGACUGAGACACGGCCCAGACUCCUACGGGAGGCAGCAGUAGGGAAUCUUCCGCAAUGGACGAAAGUCUGACGGAGCAACGCCGCGUGAGCGAAGAAGGUCUUCGGAUCGUAAAGCUCUGUUGUCAGGGAAGAACAAGUACCGUUCGAACAGGGCGGUACCUUGACGGUACCUGACCAGAAAGCCACGGCUAACUACGUG